AUGGACCUUGCCUACAAUAACCUAACAGGCAACAUACCAAAAUGGAUUGGUAACUGCAAAGGGAUGAUACUAACGAGAGAUAAGGGUUAUGAAUAUUCUGCAAUUCAUUUUGCUUUAUUUUAUGAAGGAUUACUUAGUCUUGAUUUCACCUAUACCGAGAAUUCCGCGGUAGUCACAAAGGGUCAAGAGAGAUUAUAUACAGGGGAAGUCGUAUAUAUGGUGAACCUUGAUUUAUCCUGUAACAAUCUUAUUGGUGAUAUUCCCGAAGAAAUCAGCGCUCUUGUCAAACUGAAGAACCUGAACUUGUCAUGGAACACAUUCAAUGGAAAAAUUCCAGAGAAUAUUGGCGUCUUGACGCAAGUGGAGUCACUCGACCUAUCACACAAUGAGUUGUCUGGUGAAAUCCCUCCAAGCUUAUUGGCUCUCACAUCAUUGAGUCGGUUGAACCUGUCCUACAACAACCUGAAAGGAGAGGUGCCAUCAGGGAAUCAACUGCAAACGCUUGAGGACCCUGAAUAUAUUUAUAUUGGCAACCCGGGCCUCUGCGGUCCUUCUCUGCCACAGAAAUGUUCACAGCUGGAGCCAAUUCCAGCUACUCAAGAACACCAUGAAGAUUUGAACGACGUGGCAUCGUUUUUCAUCGCUAUGGGUUCUGGACAUGUAAUGGGCGUCUGGGUAGUCUUCUGCACCUUCUUGUUCAAGAGGAAAUGGAGAGUUAAGUGGUACUCCGUCUGCGACAAGUUUUAUGACUGGGUCUAUGUGCUGGUGGUCGUUACCUGGGCUUCCUGGACAAGAGAAACAAUUGCAGAAGCUGAGAGUGGCAACUAG
Molecule: ribosomal RNA, 828 nt
Filed under: Triticum aestivum (bread wheat)
Lineage: Eukaryota; Viridiplantae; Streptophyta; Magnoliopsida; Poales; Poaceae
Description: partial small subunit ribosomal RNA
Source: RNAcentral